RNAcentral lists this transfer RNA (85 nucleotides) under Salmonella enterica subsp. enterica serovar Heidelberg. Its description in RNAcentral is "tRNA-Leu". It matches the Rfam family "tRNA". From Rfam's summary of the family: Transfer RNA (tRNA) molecules are approximately 80 nucleotides in length. The record is from RNAcentral. Lineage: Bacteria; Pseudomonadati; Pseudomonadota; Gammaproteobacteria; Enterobacterales; Enterobacteriaceae.
GCGGGAGUGGCGAAAUUGGUAGACGCACCAGAUUUAGGUUCUGGCGCCGCAAGGUGUGCGAGUUCAAGUCACGCCUCCCGCACCA